CACAGUGGGUCAGAGCACAAGGCGGUGCGGUCUGAUAUCCUUUUCCAACAUGAAUCCUUUCAGGAAGCUGCUUGGAUUUUAGCAACUCAUCUGAUUAGAGCCAGCAUGUUGGAAUUGCAUCACGUUUAGCUGUGGAUAUUCUACUUGCCAAAGGGAGGAAUUGAGAUCCAGGAGAAUCUGAGAAGGGAGAUGGAUGUUUGUAAAGCAGAAAAAAACCCUGGAAUAGAUUGAAGACUGGUAAGUGGCAGCUGCCAACGUAGACAGACAUCUUGUAGCAUAUCACUUA
Long non-coding RNA from Pseudopipra pipra, 286 nucleotides. RefSeq lists it as uncharacterized. The transcript has 3 exons. The record is from RefSeq and is a predicted model, not a curated record. Lineage: Eukaryota; Metazoa; Chordata; Aves; Passeriformes; Pipridae.